RNAcentral lists this ribosomal RNA (424 nucleotides) under uncultured bacterium. RNAcentral describes it as "bacterial SSU rRNA". It matches the Rfam family "Bacterial small subunit ribosomal RNA", at positions 508 to 930 of the family's 1533-position model. The record is from RNAcentral.
UCAGCCGCCGCGGUAAAACGUAGGAGACUAGCGUUAUCCGGAUUCAUUGGGCGUAAAGGGCAUGUAGGCGGUGCCUUAAGUUGGAUGUGAAAUCUCCCGGCUUAACUGGGAGGGGUCAUCCAAUACUGGGGCUCUUGAGGGCAGGAGAGGGAAGUGGAAUUCCCGGUGUAGCGGUGGAAUGCGUAGAUAUCGGGAGGAACACCAGUGGCGAAAGCGGCUUCCUGGCCUGCAUCUGACGCUAAUAUGCGAAAGCUAGGGGAGCAAACGGGAUUAGAUACCCCGGUAGUCCUAGCUGUAAACGAUGGAUACUAGGUGUUGGUGGUAUCAACCCCACCAGUGCCGUAGUCAACACGUUAAGUAUCCCGCCUGGGGAGUACGACCGCAAGGUUAAAACUCAAAGGAAUUGACGGGGGCCCGCACAAGC